UCUCAACAGACGUUUCUAGAAGAAGCAGC
Molecule: non-coding RNA, 29 nt
Filed under: Rattus norvegicus (Norway rat)
Lineage: Eukaryota; Metazoa; Chordata; Mammalia; Rodentia; Muridae
Source: RNAcentral